AAUGGAAGCUUCAAGAUCCUCCGGCCGAGACUUCAAGUUUCAGUUUUGUCGCCUGAGUCUUCUAGUUUCGUCGGCCGGUAGUUGAGUAAGUCACCGUCGAUCGCCUUUGGUGAUCUCUUCCCUAUUUUCGGAUUAAGAACCAAAAACCUAAUUGAUCGCCUUUGGUUCUGUUUUAAUCAUCUUCUUUCACCAUUCAGAUUUAAUCAUACACUAAAAUUAAAAAUAUCCGGUGAAUAUGAAAUUUAUUCUAUUUGAUCCAAUUUGGGUUCAGAUGGAUUAUUAUAACGAGAUCAUUUCAUCUUUGCUACCUAUUGUGUUAAAUUUUAUUUUACAUAUUAGUUUUAUAUUAUGGAAUAUACUAUUUUUUAAUGAUAUGGUAGGUAGGUGAUUGUAUAAGAC
Molecule: long non-coding RNA, 399 nt
Filed under: Linum usitatissimum (flax)
Lineage: Eukaryota; Viridiplantae; Streptophyta; Magnoliopsida; Malpighiales; Linaceae
Description: long non-coding RNA (LUSI_LNC003915)
Source: RNAcentral